This is a long non-coding RNA of Oncorhynchus tshawytscha (Chinook salmon), 4564 nucleotides long. The record is from Ensembl. Lineage: Eukaryota; Metazoa; Chordata; Actinopteri; Salmoniformes; Salmonidae.
UGACCUUUGGUGUGGUUGUUGACCAUAUAUUGUUCUGCCUUAUAUGUGCAGAAGGGGCAGUGAUGAAGUUGACAGCUGCUGCAUUUUUUAAUUUUAGGACUCUCGCCCUCCAACAACACACUAACGUGUCUCUAUACAUCAAAGAAAAAUAAGCAUAGACAUAAAAAGGCAUGAAGGCAUGGACAUAGAGUGGCAUAAAAUAGGCAUUUCAUUUCAUUAUUGUAUAUACUAUGUGUAGGCUGUGUAGACUCGCUAUGUGUAUCUUAGGGAAUGGCCGUCGGCAUCAACGACACACAUUUAGAGCCAAACACAAUGAGGCAUACAUUGAAGAAACGCAGAAAAUCAAUGAUCAAAUCGAUUACAUAACUGUAAAUGUAAACCUAGGCUUACCGCUCAAGUAGGUACAUUUGUCCAAAUAAGAUUUCCUCAUUGUAAGCAAUUGCCUAAGGGUGCUAUUGCUAACGUUAAUUACCUAGCUCACGUGAAAAUGGGUGCUAAUUAACACUAUGCUAUCGGUGCGGUAGUUGGUUAAUUCCAAUAAUUGUUUUAAAUUACAGGAGACAGGAGGAGGUGUAUUAUAAAUUGUUCUCUUGGUUUUCAAACUUUAUUUUUGUUUCCAAUUAGUGCAAUCUAUUCCAAAUUGCCUUGCUAACUUCUGUCGCUAGCUACCAGCACGAGUGUGCAGUUUUCUCCGCCAGAAUGGUAGAAGGGCCAACGAUGCUGAAAAUGUUGUGGACUUUUGGUUAAAGAACCCAUUUCAUUCUUUGGGGUACAGGAAAAGGUGCAAAUUAAAAGCGAAGGUCGACCUCUGCCCGAGAUGAGUUUCAUGUCGAAGGAUGAAAAGUUUCCUGGCUCUGCGGACCCCUGGGAGAUUGAUCACAGCUCUAUAAGUCUGCAUUUCAAUUGGACUGGUGUGUAUUAUAUGCCUAUAGGGAACGCACUAUUCCCUUUGAGAUGGACAGCUCCUGAGGACAUCACCAGCAGAAAGUUCACCAUCAAGGGUGUGGUCCUUCAGCACCUUGCUGUAUGAGAUCGUGACCUAUGGGGAGAUGCCCUGUCCCAGUAAGAUUUGUAUAAUUAGGAUAUAUUAAUCUCCUUGGCAUUAAAGCUCACGGAGGGAAAAAUUGGACAAGAUGGUGCUGACUGAGAGGGGCAAAAUCAAAUGAUCUUUACUUCUAUUGUACAGAAAAUGUCAUUCUAUUAUCCCAUUUGACCCCAAGCACUUCUGGAUAUCAGAUAAACAGUUACUAACCACGAUUUCAACCUCAAAUAAGACUUCAACUCAGCUGUUGCCCGGUCCCUAUUCCUUUGUUCCAUUAGCUACCAAAAACCUGCAGGCAUAUAGACGCAUUAGACGAGCUGCAGCCCUGGUGAAAAUGAGCGAUGAGAAAACCGAACGGCGCUCCCCUCCUUUCUGUUGGCAAAUGUCCAGUCACUUUAGAAUAAGAUGCGCUUCGUUUGAGAGUCACAUGUCUUACAGAUACGUGGCUAGAUGAUGACACUAUACACAGAGUAAUUUGUGGAUUCUUCAUCUAGUGGCAAGAUCGGACGAAGGUUUUGGGAAAGUCUAAAGAAGGAGGGGGUUUCAUAAAUAACAACAGGUGUGCUGCUUCCAGUGUGAAGGAAAUCUAUAACUUUUGCUCACCUGUUAUAGAAUACCUCAUGGUAAGUUAAGCUGCAGACUCUUUCAUCUACCAAGAGAGUUAUCCGUAAUUAUCACGGCUGUCUACAAGACAACAAAACUCUGGCACUCAACAAACUGUAUGGGGCCAUAAACAAACAAGAAACUGCUCACCCAGUGGCAGUGUUUCUGGCGGGCGGAGACUAACUUGAGGAGAUUAAAACCGUCCUCCCUCACUUCUACCAACACAUCACCUGCUCCACUAGGGGACCUAAAACUCUAGACCACUUUUAUUCUACCCACAGAAACUCAUACAACGCCCUCCCUUGUCCUCCCUUCUGCAAUUCUGACCACAACUCCAUUCUCCUGCUUCCUGUUUACAAAACAAAGCUCAAACAGGAAGUACCAGUGAUGCGUUCAAUACGGAAGUGUUCGGAUGACACGAGGUUACAAGACUGUUUUGCUAGUACAGACUGGAAUAUGUUACAGGAUUCAUCCGAUAGCAUUGAGGAGUUUACCACAACAGUCGCAAGGUUCAUCAAUAAGGGCACAGACAAUGUCAUCUCCACAGUGACUAUACGAACGUAUCCAAACCAAAAACCAUCGAUUACAGGCAAUAUCCGUUCUGGGCUAAAGGCUAGAGCUACCGCUUGCUUACAAGGAAUGGGACAUGGACAUGGACGCAUGCAAGAAAGCCUGCUACGACCUCAGACUAGACAUCAAACAUGCAAAAGGAUACUAUAGUAGGAAGGUGGAAUCCUAUUACACCGGCUUCGAUGCUCGUCGUAUGUGGUAGGGCCUGCAGACGAUAAUGAAUUACAAAGGGAAACCCAGCCGUGAGUAACCCAGUAAUGCAGAACUCCCAAUCCAGCUGAAAGCUUUUUAUUCUCGCUUCGAGGAAUAGAACACUGUGUCUAGCGUGAAAGACCCUGUUUUUCUGGAGGACUGUGUGAUCUCUCUCUCCGUGGCCGAUGUGAGCAAAACGUUUAAACAGGUUAACAAUCACACAAACGGAAUACCAGGGUGCAUUCUCAAAGCAUGAGCAGACCAGAGCUCCAAGGUAACCUGCCUAAAUGACUUUCGCCCUGUAGCACGCACAUCUGUAGGUGCUUUGAAAGGCUGGUCAUGACACACAUCAACAUAAUCAUCCCAGACACUAUGGGCCCACUUCAAUUCUCAUAAUGCCCCAACAGAUCCACAGAUGACGCAAUCUCAAUUGCACUUUACACUGCCCUCUCUCACCUGGACAAGAGGGGAAAUAACUAUGUGAGAGUGCUGUUCAUAGACUACAGCUCAGCAUUCAACACCAUAGUCCCCUCCAAGCUCAUCACCAAGCUAGAGACCUUGGAAUUGAACACCUUCCUCUGCAACUGGAUCUUGGACUUCCUGACGGGCCGGCCCCAGGUGGUGAGGAUAGGCAACAACAUCUCGCCACGCUGACCCUCAGCACGGGGCCCCUCAGGGGUGUGUGCUUAGUCCCCUCCUGUACUCCCUGAGAGAGCUUCAAGUUCCUUGACGUCCACAUCACUAAGGACUUAGCAUGGCCCACACACACCAGCACAGUCGUGAAGAGGGCACAGCAGCACCUAUUCCUCCUCAGGAGGCUAAAACGAUUUGGCAUGGACCCUCAGAUCGUUAGAAAUUUCUACAGCUGCACCAUCGAGAGCACCUUGACUGGCUGAUUCGUAUGGGAAAUGCAACGCCCCCGACCGCAAAGCACUACAGAAAGUGGUAUAUCCCUGCCAUCCAGGACCUCUAUAUUAGGCGGUGUCAGGGGAAGGCCCGAAAGCCAUAGACUGUUCACUCUGCUACUGUCUGGCAAAUGGUACGGAAGCAUUGGCUCUCGGACCAACAGGCUCUGAGACAUUUUUUACCCCAAUGCCAUAAGACUGCUAAAUGCCAGAAGACUGUGAAAUAGUCAAUUAAUGGUUACCCGAACUAUCUAUCCUGAUUCCUAUCUUGCACUGACCCUACGCACACUCACUAGACUAUAUAUACACACUAUAUACACACUCACUCACACAAAACUACAUUGAUACUCCCACACAAAACCCAUAGACAUACGUGGAUGUCGAUUAAGGCAACCCCCCGCACCUCUCUGGUUAAAUGCAGAAGACACAUUUCGGUUGAAGGCAUUCAGUUGUACAACUGACUAGGUAUCCUCGUUUCCCUUUCAUACGCCAGAGGAGGACGGGCUCAUUGUAAUGGCUGGAUUGGAAUAAAUGGAACGGAGUCAAACGUGGUUUCCUUAUGUUUGAUGUGUUUGAUACUGUUCCAUUUAUUCCCUUCCUGCCUUUACAACGAGCCCGUCCUCCUAUAGCUCCCCCCACCAGCCUCCACUGACAUACGCACACACAUAUACAUAGCACACGCAUACCGACACAACACAAACAUUUGCGGCUGCUAUUCUUUAUUUUACACUCUUUUUUACACUUAUUAUCUAUCCUGAUUCCUAGUCACUUUACCUUGCAUUCAUGUACAUACUGUAUCUACCUCAAACACCUCGUACCUCUGCACAUUGAUCUGAUACUGUUACUCCCUGUAUGUAGCUCUACAUUGAUCUGGUACUGGUACUCCCUGUAUAUACAGUAGCUCCAUUCUUGUGUAUUAUAUUUUAUUCCUCUUGUGUUACUAUUUUUUCUGUGUAUUAUAAUUUUUAAACUCUGCAUCGUUGGGAAGGCCUCGUAAGCAAGCAUUUCAUGGUAAAGUCUACACCGGUUGUAUUCGGCGCAUGUGACAAAUACAAUUUGAUUUGACACUAACUUCUGACAUCUACCCCAUUGUUAUUGAGUGAGCAAUGCUAUCAAUGCAUGAUUAGCACAAAUGUAGAGUUCUUCUGCUUUCCAGUGCCAUUUUGAGAGUAUAUAUUGGACUGCUGGAAGGAGAAUAAAAAUGACAGGAGCACUUUCGAGGCUCUGAAAACGAGGCUGAGGAACGUUAGCG